RNAcentral lists this ribosomal RNA (1542 nucleotides) under Escherichia coli. Its description in RNAcentral is "bacterial SSU rRNA". It matches the Rfam family "Bacterial small subunit ribosomal RNA". The record is from RNAcentral. Lineage: Bacteria; Pseudomonadati; Pseudomonadota; Gammaproteobacteria; Enterobacterales; Enterobacteriaceae.
AAAUUGAAGAGUUUGAUCAUGGCUCAGAUUGAACGCUGGCGGCAGGCCUAACACAUGCAAGUCGAACGGUAACAGGAAGAAGCUUGCUUCUUUGCUGACGAGUGGCGGACGGGUGAGUAAUGUCUGGGAAACUGCCUGAUGGAGGGGGAUAACUACUGGAAACGGUAGCUAAUACCGCAUAACGUCGCAAGACCAAAGAGGGGGACCUUCGGGCCUCUUGCCAUCGGAUGUGCCCAGAUGGGAUUAGCUAGUAGGUGGGGUAACGGCUCACCUAGGCGACGAUCCCUAGCUGGUCUGAGAGGAUGACCAGCCACACUGGAACUGAGACACGGUCCAGACUCCUACGGGAGGCAGCAGUGGGGAAUAUUGCACAAUGGGCGCAAGCCUGAUGCAGCCAUGCCGCGUGUAUGAAGAAGGCCUUCGGGUUGUAAAGUACUUUCAGCGGGGAGGAAGGGAGUAAAGUUAAUACCUUUGCUCAUUGACGUUACCCGCAGAAGAAGCACCGGCUAACUCCGUGCCAGCAGCCGCGGUAAUACGGAGGGUGCAAGCGUUAAUCGGAAUUACUGGGCGUAAAGCGCACGCAGGCGGUUUGUUAAGUCAGAUGUGAAAUCCCCGGGCUCAACCUGGGAACUGCAUCUGAUACUGGCAAGCUUGAGUCUCGUAGAGGGGGGUAGAAUUCCAGGUGUAGCGGUGAAAUGCGUAGAGAUCUGGAGGAAUACCGGUGGCGAAGGCGGCCCCCUGGACGAAGACUGACGCUCAGGUGCGAAAGCGUGGGGAGCAAACAGGAUUAGAUACCCUGGUAGUCCACGCCGUAAACGAUGUCGACUUGGAGGUUGUGCCCUUGAGGCGUGGCUUCCGGAGCUAACGCGUUAAGUCGACCGCCUGGGGAGUACGGCCGCAAGGUUAAAACUCAAAUGAAUUGACGGGGGCCCGCACAAGCGGUGGAGCAUGUGGUUUAAUUCGAUGCAACGCGAAGAACCUUACCUGGUCUUGACAUCCACGGAAGUUUUCAGAGAUGAGAAUGUGCCUUCGGGAACCGUGAGACAGGUGCUGCAUGGCUGUCGUCAGCUCGUGUUGUGAAAUGUUGGGUUAAGUCCCGCAACGAGCGCAACCCUUAUCCUUUGUUGCCAGCGGUCCGGCCGGGAACUCAAAGGAGACUGCCAGUGAUAAACUGGAGGAAGGUGGGGAUGACGUCAAGUCAUCAUGGCCCUUACGACCAGGGCUACACACGUGCUACAAUGGCGCAUACAAAGAGAAGCGACCUCGCGAGAGCAAGCGGACCUCAUAAAGUGCGUCGUAGUCCGGAUUGGAGUCUGCAACUCGACUCCAUGAAGUCGGAAUCGCUAGUAAUCGUGGAUCAGAAUGCCACGGUGAAUACGUUCCCGGGCCUUGUACACACCGCCCGUCACACCAUGGGAGUGGGUUGCAAAAGAAGCAGGUAGCUUAACCUUCGGGAGGGCGCUUACCACUUUGUGAUUCAUGACUGGGGUGAAGUCGUAACAAGGUAACCGUAGGGGAACCUGCGGUUGGAUCACCUCCUUA